UCGAUUGGUCGAGAAUAAUACUGUAGAGCAUUCUUUCUAACACCUUUAUUAUAUGUAACUACGUUUUUUGAUCAAAUUUAUCACCGUAUCUUGACGAUGAUUCAAACACUUACUAUAAUUUCUUUUGGAAAACAAACUGCAAAUAUUUAAUUGGAGAAACUUUCCGUUUGUGUGCAUUUAACAUUAUAAACACAUUUUGUGGAUCACAAAUUUGAAGAGACAAUUGAUUGAAAGAUCUCUAAAAUCAGGCAGCUCCGAUAAGCACGAUGGCAUUUCAAAGAAUUAAUAAUGUGCCACAAAAAAUCGCCGAGAAAUUGUACCUGAACCCGGAAAUAGCCGACGUUAACUUUAUCAUUAAAGUCCACGCCAAGCAUACUGAAAGCGUUCCAGCUCACAAAAUCAUUCUCUCCUGCGAAAGCCCGGUCUUUAAAGCAAUGUUUUAUGGCCCGAUAAAGG
Molecule: long non-coding RNA, 456 nt
Organism: Contarinia nasturtii (swede midge)
Lineage: Eukaryota; Metazoa; Arthropoda; Insecta; Diptera; Cecidomyiidae
Exons: 3
Source: RefSeq, a predicted model, not a curated record